RNAcentral lists this long non-coding RNA (1089 nucleotides) under Nicotiana benthamiana. RNAcentral's name for it is "long non-coding RNA (NBEN_LNC004901)". The record is from RNAcentral. Lineage: Eukaryota; Viridiplantae; Streptophyta; Magnoliopsida; Solanales; Solanaceae.
GAGAAUCCAGCUGACAUGUUGACGAAAGUGGUGACUCGAGAGAAGCUAGAGCUAUGCAGAGAUAUAGCAGGAAUGUUUAUUUCGGAUAUGGCUGGAGGGGGAGAAUUGAAGAAGUCCAGCCAUCCCCACCAAACUCAACCUACCAUUCAACAACCAUCUACCUAACCUCCACCAACCACCCACCAUUGUUGAAAAAGGAAGCUUCCAUGUUCACACCACACCUACCCCAUAACUCAUGCUAUAAAUAGAGGUGGAUACCUCAGUUGGAAGGCAUCCUGAAAAUUAGUGUUCAUCACCAAGAAGAGUGAAAACAAGAGUGAUCCUAGAGAGUGAUCCUUGUUUGUGAGUUUGAGAGGGAUCGACAACUGUUGAGACUAGUGAAGAUCCAUACGAAGGAGAAUCCAGCUGACAUGUUGACGAAGGUGGUGACUCGAGAGAAGCUAGAGCUAUGCAGAGACAUAGCAGGAAUGUUUAUUUCGGAUAUGGCUGGAGGGGGAGAAUUGAAGAAGUCCAGCCAUCCCCACCAAACUCAACCUACCAUUCAACAACCAUCUACCUAACCUCCACCAACCACCCACCAUUGUUGAAAAAGGAAGCUUCCAUGUUCACACCACACCUACCCCAUAACUCAUGCUAUAAAUAGAGGUGGAUACCUCAGUUGGAAGGCAUCCUGAAAAUUAGUGUUCAUCACCAAGAAGAGUGAAAACAAGAGUGAUCCUUGUUUGUGAGUUUGAGAGUUUUUUUUUAUGAGUUUUGUAAAUACUCGUGUAAUCUAUUCUUGUGAGUAAUAGAGGUUGUUUUUAUCUCAAAUUCGUGUCUACCAACGCCCAAUUGAUUCUAGGUAACCCAACAGAACUGAAGUUUCAUAGCAACACCAAUAGCAGCAGAAGAAAGAAGAAGAAGAAGAUAAAGAAGAAGAAAAGGGGUUAAAGAUGUUUAAAAAAUAAAUAAAAAUUAAAUUUUUUAAAAAGAUGAAUAUAAGUUAAAUAUUAGCAACUAAAUAGGACGUUCCAUAUAAUUUUUAGCCGUUUCUAUCCUAUCUGUUUCAUAAUGCAAUCUCAAUCAUUGUGCUGAGAAAGUGGGUAGGGC